GACGAAUGCUGGCGGCAUGCUUUACACAUGCAAGUCGAACGGCAGCACGGGUGCUUGCACCUGGUGGCGAGUGGCGAACGGGUGAGUAAUGUAUCGGAACGUACCCGGCAAUGGGGGAUAACGUAGCGAAAGUUACGCUAAUACCGCAUACGCCCUGAGGGGGAAAGUGGGGGAUCGCAAGACCUCACGUUGUCGGAGCGGCCGAUAUCAGAUUAGCUAGUUGGUGGGGUAAAGGCCUACCAAGGCGACGAUCUGUAGCUGGUCUGAGAGGACGACCAGCCACACUGGGACUGAGACACGGCCCAGACUCCUACGGGAGGCAGCAGUGGGGAAUUUUGGACAAUGGGGGCAACCCUGAUCCAGCCAUGCCGCGUGAGUGAAGAAGGCCUUCGGGUUGUAAAGCUCUUUCGGACAGAAAGAAAUCGCCACUUCUAAUAAAGGUGGUGGAUGACGGUACUGUAAGAAGAAGCACCGGCUAACUACGUGCCAGCAGCCGCAGUAA
Molecule: ribosomal RNA, 502 nt
Filed under: uncultured bacterium
Lineage: Bacteria
Description: partial 16S ribosomal RNA
Rfam family: Bacterial small subunit ribosomal RNA
Source: RNAcentral